AUUGAACGCUGGCGGCAUGCCUUACACAUGCAAGUCGAACGGCAGCACGGGAGCAAUCCUGGUGGCGAGUGGCGAACGGGUGAGCAAUGUAUCGGAACGUACCUUUCAGUGGGGGAUAACGUAGCGAAAGUUACGCUAAUACCGCAUAUUCUGUGAGCAGGAAAGCAGGGGAUCGCAAGACCUUGCGCUGAUUGAGCGGCCGAUAUCAGAUUAGCUAGUUGGUGAGGUAAAGGCUCACCAAGGCGACGAUCUGUAGCGGGUCUGAGAGGAUGAUCCGCCACACUGGAACUGAGACACGGUCCAGACUCCUACGGGAGGCAGCAGUGGGGAAUUUUGGACAAUGGGCGCAAGCCUGAUCCAGCCAUGCCGCGUGAGUGAAGAAGGCCUGGUUGUAAG
Molecule: ribosomal RNA, 396 nt
Filed under: uncultured bacterium
Lineage: Bacteria
Description: bacterial SSU rRNA
Rfam family: Bacterial small subunit ribosomal RNA
Source: RNAcentral